AUUGAACGCUGGCGGCAGGCCUAACACAUGCAAGUCGAGCGGAUGAAGGGAGCUUGCUCCUGGAUUCAGCGGCGGACGGGUGAGUAAUGCCUAGGAAUCUGCCUGGUAGUGGGGGAUAACGUCCGGAAACGGGCGCUAAUACCGCAUACGUCCUGAGGGAGAAGGGGGGGGUUCUUCGGACCUCACCCUUUCAGAUGAGCCUAGGUCGGAUUAGCUAGUUGGUGGGGUAAAGGCCUACCAAGGCGACGAUCCGUAACUGGUCUGAGAGGAUGAUCAGUCACACUGGAACUGAGACACGGUCCAGACUCCUACGGGAGGCAGCAGUGGGGAAUAUUGGACAAUGGGCGAAAGCCUGAUCCAGCCAUGCCGCGUGUGUGAAGAAGGUCUUCGGAUUGUAAAGCACUUUAAGUUGGGAGGAAGGGCAGUAAGUUAAUACCUUGCUGUUUUGACGUUACCAACAGAAUAAGCACCGGCUAACUUCGUG
RNAcentral lists this ribosomal RNA (484 nucleotides) under uncultured bacterium. Its description in RNAcentral is "partial 16S ribosomal RNA". It matches the Rfam family "Bacterial small subunit ribosomal RNA", at positions 30 to 507 of the family's 1533-position model. The record is from RNAcentral.